AAUGAAAUGCCUGAUUAAAGGAUUAUUUUGAUAGAAUAAAUCAUGUAGAUUUCUACUUUCAUUA
This 64-nucleotide transfer RNA is filed under the name Vietnamella dabieshanensis. RNAcentral's name for it is "tRNA-Ile". Lineage: Eukaryota; Metazoa; Arthropoda; Insecta; Ephemeroptera; Ephemerellidae. The record is from RNAcentral. RNAcentral also lists the same sequence under 1 other name.